Molecule: long non-coding RNA, 2335 nt
Organism: Passer domesticus (house sparrow)
Lineage: Eukaryota; Metazoa; Chordata; Aves; Passeriformes; Passeridae
Exons: 3
Source: RefSeq, a predicted model, not a curated record
AAUCACCUGUUGUCAGUCUUGAUGAGGACUACCAAGAACGUGGAGCAGACUCCUCUCACGUGUGCCUGGGGGAGGAUGGGAGGCAGCAGAUCCCAUCCCCAUCAGCAAAAUUCCAACCAAUAUUAAGAAGUUACUUAAUGAUGAGAGCAGUUAAACCAGAGGAGGCCAGAGAGAUGGUGGUAUCUCCAUCCAUGGAGCACCCAGCACAGAAGGGACACUGGCUGUGUGCUGCCUUCAUGUUCUCAGCCUGCUCCUCACUGAUCUGACAACUACAAGUGGUGGUACAAAAACAGCAGGGCCCUGUGGUUGUCUUGAAGUCUCCUCCAGCCUUAAAUGAUGUUGGGCAUUACUCAGACCUUGUGGCAGCUGUUGAAUUUGACUCACCUCUUCCACCCCACUCUCCAAAACAGAUGUGGUUGUAAAUUACAGCCAGAUUAGAAGCAUCAGUGAAGACCAUAAGAAUGCAAGAGCAAGUAACAGGUUGUAAAUUCUGUUGGGUUGUGACUUAUGUAAACAGUUUUCAUGUGGCUCUGACCUUCAGCACAGCACAGUCCUGAGUGUGUGUGCAGCAUGGACAGAGGAGGAAUCUGCUCUGCUGCAGUUCUUUGACAAUCCAAGGUGAAGGAAGGAUGAAGGAGCAAGUGCCCACAGAUCCCACAGAGCUUCCCAGGAGUUUGCUGACCAUUGCUGUGAGAUGCAUCACAGCCAUGCUCACCUCGUCCCUGGAUGUUCAUGGGAGAUGCUGAAGUCAAUCAGGUCACAACCGCAGAUGCAAGAAUUCAAAUCUCAGCCCCCAGAUGGGCCAGGUUGAUCCUGCAGGACUGCUGGGAUAAUCAUCCUGACACUGCAGAUAACAGGAUUGUGAUCAUAAAUCUUAAGAUUCAAGUACAUUCACCAUGGUUGAGUGACCAUCAGUAUUUUGAGGGAAUGAGAAUAUUUUUCCCCCGAAAAGAUGAUGGCAUGAAGAGCACAUAUGCAGAAAGUGAAUUCUCAGAAAUACAGAACAAUGCAUCAUUUUUAUUUCAAUUUGCCAUGCACUCCUUAUCAUUUCACCCACAUUCUGCCCACUAAUCAAGGGGAAGAGGCUUGGCUGGUGCAAGUGGUUCUGGAUAGAUCUAUUUGUGGCUGUUGCUAUUGCAGCAACAGCAAAAGUGUGUUUUUUAUAGAAGAAUCUAGGCUCUGUCACAGAAUGUAAGUGACUUAUUCUGUGAACAAUUAUUUUUACCUACAGAGUGAAAGAACCUUUACCCCAGGCUGGUGUUGUGUGGGGCUGUUCCAGUUGUGCACAUGUAAGUCAUGAAGGGAAAUACACUUUUCAUUAUUUGGCCCUGCUUGGUACAAUUCUGCCUUUUCUGCAUGGAAGAGGAGAAAUCAGGUAUUUAAUCAAUAUUAGUAUUACAGAACUAUGGAGCUGGGUUUUUUUUUUUGCCUUUUAAAGGUAGUUUGUCUUCUGCAAGCAAAAAUUAGAAAAAGAGUACAAAAUAGCACUGAGUUGUUUACCAAUAUAAAACACUCAGCUGAUGAGAUGCACUAAUCCACAGCCAAACCUGGGUAAAGGCCCAGCUGACUCCUAUUUAAGCCACCACCUUACUCCACAGCUUUUCUAUGUCAAAACCCUGACAGUACCUACAAUUUGAGCCAAUUCCCCAGUUAACCACAGCCCUGCAUAUCCAUGGUGAUCAAACAAAUGUUCACCUUCCAAAAUGUGAGGAAUGUGACAUUAAUAAAGGCAUGUUGCUCCCUGCUAGGCAAUGCCUGAUCCUCCACAUUGUAUCACUUGCAAACUGGCAGCAUCACAGGGCAGGGGUGUUAACUGGAAUACUGCUGUGAGAAGGGGAUGUCUGGAUUUACUUUCUUCCCCAAGGACCUUUCCAGCAGCCAGCAUCUUCUCCAUUGCACAUAAUUCUCUUUUACUAGAAACACCUGGUAGGUCUUGUAAUUCCUGUCCUCAUGUUGCAGAGUGCUCUCCCCUCUCACAUCACUGUCCUCAGGCCACACAAGACAUCCUCUUUAAAAGAGCUAAGAACCAGAAAAGGUGGAAGCAGAUAGCUCCCCAAAAACCAGAGCAAGGCUAUAAGCUGUACUACAGCAUCAGCCAACAGGGGUCUAACAAAAAGUCACCCUUUGCUUCCAUUUCCCCUGGACUGCAGGCUGCUGGUAAAGCAAACAGACCUCUACAAACAAAGCACUGCUGCUGCACAGGAUGCCCAAGUUUUUCUGGAAAAGGUUGGUUAAGUCAAUGAGUUAACAAUUUGUUCCAAUUAGAAGAACAGUGAGCUGGAGUACAGCAAGAGCUUCUUACCUUCCUGUCUGCAAUUGCAAAGCUCAUGCACCA